Long non-coding RNA from Maylandia zebra (zebra mbuna), 753 nucleotides. RefSeq lists it as uncharacterized. NCBI's taxonomy places the organism in Eukaryota, Metazoa, Chordata, Actinopteri, Cichliformes, Cichlidae. The record is from RefSeq and is a predicted model, not a curated record.
UCCGGGUCCUUCUCCUCCUCCCCGCCUAACAUCUUACCCAUGUCUUUGGUGGCCCCUGGACAGAAAACAUAGAAAUACUGUGGUGAACAGGUUCACCCAGGAGCUUCAAGGUCCGUUGGAAACAAGACGGAAGAAGAACAGCCAGCUGGAAGAGCUUCAAAGAAACACUGAGACAGAGGAAGACACAUUCUUCCAUCUGCUGUGGCCAUCUGUUAUCUCUAUCUGUACCUCCGCAUUCUGCUACUAAACAUAAUUCAGACUGAACGUAAGUUUUCAAAGUUUCUGGGCACAGCGUGUGGUGAAAAAAUGAGACUUUAUUAUUAUGAAGGAGAUAGACUUUGGGCCUUUUUAUACUUACAAAUGAAAAUAUUGAUCAAUUAGAAAAAAAUCUGAAUGAAAUCAAAUCAAAUAUUUAACAUCAUUUAUCAAACAAAAAUGCUAACAACCUCUGAUUACAGAAUAAUUAGGUACACAUCCCAGUACAGGGUCGGAACCUUGCAUGCUUUUCAUUAAAAGUCUAAGGUUAACACUUACAAUAGUAGAGUGGUGUUAUCGGUGACGGUUACAGUCAGAUACAAUCAAUUCUCAGAAAUCUAAAAAACUAAAGCAAGCUGAGAAGUUCCCAGAGCAGUAAACAAUUUUUUUUUCUGAAAACAUUGAUUCAUUCAGAUUCAUUCAUUGGCAUUUUCUGUGUUACAAAUACAUUUUUUGGUUUAUAUCAUAAAGAGAUUAAAACUUAAACCACUGAAGGAA